UACGAAGGGGGCUAGCGGUGUUCGGAAUUACUGGGCGUAAAGCGCACGUAGGCGGGUUUGUAAGUAGGGGGUGAAAUCCCAGGGCUCAACCCUGGAACUGCCUUCUAGACUGCAAGCCUGGAGGUCAGGAGAGGCGAGUGGAAUUCCGAGUGUAGAGGUGAAAUUCGUAGAUAUUCGGAGGAACACCAGUGGCGAAGGCGACUCGCUGGACUGAUACUGACGCUGAGGUGCGAAAGCGUGGGGAGCAAACAGG
RNAcentral lists this ribosomal RNA (253 nucleotides) under uncultured bacterium. RNAcentral's name for it is "partial 16S ribosomal RNA". It matches the Rfam family "Bacterial small subunit ribosomal RNA", at positions 524 to 776 of the family's 1533-position model. The record is from RNAcentral.